This is a non-coding RNA of Acanthosepion pharaonis, 105 nucleotides long. NCBI's taxonomy places the organism in Eukaryota, Metazoa, Mollusca, Cephalopoda, Sepiida, Sepiidae. The record is from the annotation of a GenBank genome assembly.
UUACGACCACAUCACGUUGAAACACAGGUUCCCGUACGAUCAGCGAAGUUAGGUAACGUCGAGUCUAGUCAGUACAUAGAUGGGUGACCGCUUGAGAAUACCAGG